UACAGAGGGUGCGAGCGUUAAUCGGAAUUACUGGGCGUAAAGGGUGCGUAGGUUGUUUAUUAAGUUAGGUGUGAAAGUCCCGGGCUUAACCUGGGGAUUGCACUUGAUACUGAUAGACUGGAGUCGAGUAGAGGGGAGUGGAAUUUCCGGUGUAGCGGUGAAAUGCGUAGAUAUCGGAAGGAACACCGGUGGCGAAGGCGGCUCCCUGGACUUAGACUGACACUGAGGCACGAAAGCGUGGGUAGCAAACAGG
RNAcentral lists this ribosomal RNA (253 nucleotides) under uncultured bacterium. RNAcentral's name for it is "partial 16S ribosomal RNA". It matches the Rfam family "Bacterial small subunit ribosomal RNA", at positions 524 to 776 of the family's 1533-position model. The record is from RNAcentral.